This is a long non-coding RNA of Poecilia latipinna (sailfin molly), 122 nucleotides long. RefSeq lists it as uncharacterized. The transcript is spliced from 3 exons. NCBI's taxonomy places the organism in Eukaryota, Metazoa, Chordata, Actinopteri, Cyprinodontiformes, Poeciliidae. The record is from RefSeq and is a predicted model, not a curated record.
AAGUAAACAUGGAGGCUAACGGUGGAGCUUAGCUUACAUAUUUGAAGUUGUUGUCCAGCCAUAGCAGCAUAUUAACAACUUAAUCUUCAUUAUAGUCCAUCAUGGUUGUUUUUCUUUGCACU